Molecule: ribosomal RNA, 408 nt
Filed under: uncultured bacterium
Lineage: Bacteria
Description: partial 16S ribosomal RNA
Rfam family: Bacterial small subunit ribosomal RNA
Source: RNAcentral
GACGAACGCUGGCGGCGUGCUUAACACAUGCAAGUCGAACGAAGUGGCGAACGGGUGAGUAACGCGUAAUCAACCUGCCCUUCAGAGGGGGACAACAGUUGGAAACGACUGCUAAUACCGCAUACUGAAGGAGGGGAUUGCGUCUGAUUAGCUAGUUGGAGGGGUAACGGCCCACCAAGGCGAUGAUCAGUAGCCGGUAUGAGAGGAGGAACAGCCACAAUGGGACUGUGACACGGGCCAGAGUCGUACGGGAGGAAGCAGUGGUGAAUCUUCCGCAAUGGACGAAAGUCGGACGGAGCAACGCCGCGUGAGUGAUGACGGACUUCGGGGUGUAAAGCGCUGUUAAUCGGGACGCGGUACCGGAAUAGAAAGCCACGGCUAACUACGUGCCAGCCGCCGCGGUAAUAC